Molecule: ribosomal RNA, 252 nt
Filed under: uncultured bacterium
Lineage: Bacteria
Also listed under: 1 other name
Description: partial 16S ribosomal RNA
Rfam family: Bacterial small subunit ribosomal RNA
Source: RNAcentral
UACGUAGGUGGCAAGCGUUGUCCGGAAUUACUGGGUGUAAAGGGAGCGUAGGCGGGGCGGCAAGCAAAAUGUGAAACUGAUCGGCUCAACCGGUCAUUGCGUUUUGAACUGUCGCUCUUGAGUGAAGUAGAGGCAGGCGGAAUUCCUAGUGUAGCGGUGAAAUGCGUAGAUAUUAGGAGGAACACCAGUGGCGAAGGCGGCCUGCUGGGCUUUUACUGACGCUGAGGCUCGAAAGUGUGGGUAGCAAACAGG